UUGCCUACGGGAGGCAGCAGUGAGGAAUAUUGGUCAAUGGGCGAGAGCCUGAACCAGCCAAGUCGCGUGAAGGAUGACGGCCCUACGGGUUGUAAACUUCUUUUGUCAGGGAGCAAUUGAGUCCACGUGUGGGCUUAGCGAGAGUACCUGAAGAAAAAGCAUCGGCUAACUCCGUGCCAGCAGCCGCGGUAAUACGGAGGAUCCGAGCGUUAUCCGGAUUUAUUGGGUUUAAAGGGAGCGUAGGCGGAUUAUUAAGUCAGUUGUGAAAGUUUGCGGCUCAACCGUAAAAUUGCAGUUGAUACUGG
This 305-nucleotide ribosomal RNA is filed under the name uncultured bacterium. Its description in RNAcentral is "bacterial SSU rRNA". It matches the Rfam family "Bacterial small subunit ribosomal RNA", at positions 335 to 636 of the family's 1533-position model. The record is from RNAcentral.